This 1433-nucleotide ribosomal RNA is filed under the name uncultured organism. RNAcentral's name for it is "SSU rRNA". It matches the Rfam family "Bacterial small subunit ribosomal RNA". The record is from RNAcentral.
ACAUGCGAGUCGAGGGGCAGCAUGGUCUUAGCUUGCUAAGGCCGAUGGCGACCGGCGCACGGGUGAGUAACACGUAUCCAACCUGCCGUCUACUCUUGGACAGCCUUCUGAAAGGAAGAUUAAUACAAGAUGGCAUCAUGAGUCCGCAUGUUCACAUGAUUAAAGGUAUUCCGGUAGACGAUGGGGAUGCGUUCCAUUAGAUAGUAGGCGGGGUAACGGCCCACCUAGUCUUCGAUGGAUAGGGGUUCUGAGAGGAAGGUCCCCCACAUUGGAACUGAGACACGGUCCAAACUCCUACGGGAGGCAGCAGUGAGGAAUAUUGGUCAAUGGGCGAGAGCCUGAACCAGCCAAGUAGCGUGAAGGAUGACUGCCCUAUGGGUUGUAAACUUCUUUUAUAAAGGAAUAAAGUCGGGUAUGCAUACCCGUUUGCAUGUACUUUAUGAAUAAGGAUCGGCUAACUCCGUGCCAGCAGCCGCGGUAAUACGGAGGAUCCGAGCGUUAUCCGGAUUUAUUGGGUUUAAAGGGAGCGUAGAUGGAUGUUUAAGUCAGUUGUGAAAGUUUGCGGCUCAACCGUAAAAAUUGCAGUUGAUACUGGAUAUCUUGAGUGCAGCUGAGGCAGGCGGAAUUCGUGGUGUAGCGUUGAAAUGCUUAGAUAUCACGAAGAACUCCGAUUGCGAAGGCAGCUUGCUAAGCUGCAACUGACAUUGAGGCUCGAAAGUGUGGGUAUCAAACAGGAUUAGAUACCCUGGUAGUCCACACGGUAAACGAUGAAUACUCGCUGUUUGCGAUAUACGGCAAGCGGCCAAGCGAAAGCGUUAAGUAUUCCACCUGGGGAGUACGCCGGCAACGGUGAAACUCAAAGGAAUUGACGGGGGCCCGCACAAGCGGAGGAACAUGUGGUUUAAUUCGAUGAUACGCGAGGAACCUUACCCGGGCUUAAAUUGCAGAUGAAUUACGGUGAAAGCCGUAAGCCGCAAGGCAUCUGUGAAGGUGCUGCAUGGUUGUCGUCAGCUCGUGCCGUGAGGUGUCGGCUUAAGUGCCAUAACGAGCGCAACCCUUGUUGUCAGUUACUAACAGGUUCCGCUGAGGACUCUGACAAGACUGCCAUCGUAAGAUGUGAGGAAGGUGGGGAUGACGUCAAAUCAGCACGGCCCUUACGUCCGGGGCUACACACGUGUUACAAUGGGGGGUACAGAGGGCCGCUACCACGCGAGUGGAUGCCAAUCCCAAAAACCUCUCUCAGUUCGGACUGGAGUCUGCAACCCGACUCCACGAAGCUGGAUUCGCUAGUAAUCGCGCAUCAGCCACGGCGCGGUGAAUACGUUCCCGGGCCUUGUACACACCGCCCGUCAAGCCAUGGGAGCCGGGGGUACCUGAAGUGCGUAACCGCGAGGAGCGCCCUAGGGUAAAACUGGUGACUGGGGCUAAGUCGU